UACGAAGGGGGCUAGCGUUGUUCGGAAUUACUGGGCGUAAAGCGCGCGCAGGCGGCUAUCCAAGUCAGUGGUGAAAUCUGGAGCUCAACUCCAGAACUGCCUUCGAUACUGGAGAGCUCGAGUCCGGGAGAGGUGAGUGGAACUGCGAGUGUAGAGGUGAAAUUCGUAGAUAUUCGCAAGAACACCAGUGGCGAAGGCGGCUCACUGGCCCGGUACUGACGCUGAGGUGCGAAAGCGUGGGGAGCAAACAGG
RNAcentral lists this ribosomal RNA (252 nucleotides) under uncultured bacterium. Its description in RNAcentral is "partial 16S ribosomal RNA". It matches the Rfam family "Bacterial small subunit ribosomal RNA", at positions 524 to 776 of the family's 1533-position model. The record is from RNAcentral.